AUUGUGUUGUUUGUCUCUGAAGCCGCCUCAUGACCAGCAAAGGGAUUUCACCUCGUCCUUGAGAGCAACACGGGGAGCGCGAGCGAGCGGGCGAGCGAGAGACGGGGGGAGAGAGAGGGACACGCGCGCGCACACACACACACACCGGCACACACGCACACACACAGACACACACACACAGAGUGAAAAAGGCGAGCCACCAAAACCCAUCUCCAGUCUCCUCCCGGGGGCCCCCAGCCCGCCUCUGUGCCACUUUGCAUCCCACGCCGGAGGAGGCAUUAACGAGACCGGUGUACCAAGUGAAGACCACUCACGUGUUGUGUCACUUUAAGCGCGGGUUUGGGAAAUCUCGCUUGCACUUUGGGGCUACAGCAAUAAGAAGCAAUGAAAAGAGGUUAUACGAGUUGAAAUCAAAUUGGAUUUGGAAAUGUUUGCGUUGGAGAGCAGCAGUUUGUUGAGUAUUGAUCGGAUGCACACGAAGCACUGUUUACAUAUUUUAUUAGUCAUUUUCCCUACACUUUGCAAAGCGACUAUAUUAAUAAAUAGAUUGACCCUGGUGAAUAUCUGAAGACGCUGGUUUCUGUGACUAAAUUCAGAAUGUGAUGAUGAAUGUGAAUUCAUUUUAAUGUGUUCCCUUCUCAGCUAAAGCAGGUCAAGACGAGGAAUCCUGUGAAUAUGCAGAGCCCUACACUCGGUGCCAGGCAGUCCAGGCACUCUGGGUGGCAGUCAACUGUACUUUCUUACAAAAGUUUAGGGAUUUGCUGGAACCCACUUGAGAUCCUCACAUACCCAGAUAGCCAAAGGACUUUGUCAAGGAAGGCAUAAGGAGGUGUCCCCAGGGACUGCCUUCUGGCUCAGCAGAGUUCUUUAGCCAAGGGCAGGACCAAGGGAAAUCUGUGGGAUUUGGGGCAGUAAGUGUGGGAAUCUGCAAAGGGACUGGACAGUGAUUUGUUUCCUUGCUUUUCAUAAAUAAUGGCCCCUAGUACCCUGAAAACACACACACAGACACAAACAGGCCAAUGAAGUAGGCACAUGUGAGAUUUGUAGGCAAUGGACAUUUCCAUCAGAAAAACCAGAGGAAAAUUUUUGAUCAGGAUUACGGGAGUGAGGCUCGAUGGCCAAGAGUGAUUAGGUUAAGGGCCAGAUGGCUUUAAAGUAUAC
Molecule: long non-coding RNA, 1161 nt
Filed under: Homo sapiens (human)
Lineage: Eukaryota; Metazoa; Chordata; Mammalia; Primates; Hominidae
Description: non-protein coding lnc-SOX5-5:10
Source: RNAcentral